Molecule: long non-coding RNA, 3726 nt
Organism: Felis catus (domestic cat)
Lineage: Eukaryota; Metazoa; Chordata; Mammalia; Carnivora; Felidae
Exons: 3
Source: RefSeq, a predicted model, not a curated record
CUGAGCCGAAGUCGGAUGCUUAACCGACUGAGCCACCUAGUGCCCUCAGAAUAUUCUAUUUUUACUUGAGAAAUGUAGGUUGUAGAAUAUGCACACAGCUUCCCAUGUUUGAAAAGAACAUGAAAUGUGUUUGCAUAAAAUGAGAUGGAUGUUUCAAAAUGAAACGGUUUCUUUCCAAGGUAGAAUUGUGGGUGGCUGCUGUUUGUCAGUGUUUGCUUGUUUAUAUUUUCUAAGAUUGGUGUAAUGAGCAUUUUGGAAUUUUGUGAUGUUGAGAAAAAUUUUAAAGGAAUGACUCCACGCUUUUGAACCUAGAGUAGCAGAUGUAUGUGGUGGAGAAGUGGAGCUUCAAGUCUGUUGGAGUCAGCGGAGAUGCUGGUGUCAGUCUGGGGCUUGGGGCGCGUUCUUGGUUUAGGGAAUGAAGGCUUGUGUCAGGGAGAGCAAUUGGGAGCUUGGGAGGAAACCACCUGCCAGAGGAGAGUGAGGGUGCCUGAGGCAGGCUAGGGAGGAGAGGGGAGUUUGAAAAGUGAGAGGUGGCUAUGGCCAGCAGGGUUGGAUGCUGUUGGGGGUACUUCCAAAGCGUGGGAGCCAGGCUUCAGGGGCAUGCAGUGAGGUUGCAGGUGGAGAGUAUCUGGAAGCGUGGCCUACUUGGAAUGACAUCAGAUGGGAGACGACGGAGAUGGGGCAGCAUCCUGGGUCCACUGUUGGGUGCAAGUGGGGCCUCUUCCCUCCACUUUUCUUCAGACCAUGGCUGUCUUGGUGUGGCCAGUGCAUUCCUUCUGUGGUGCUUCUCCUUUGCUUCUGACUGGAGCAGACUGGGACAUGACCAUCAGUGCCUUUGUCCUCUGUGAGCUUGUCACUGCUAUCUGGAGUAGGUGUCAUAUGUGGAGAAGUGAAGGAGGGGACUUCGUUAGCAGGCUCGGAGGCAAAAUGGACACAUGGCCUUGCUGUCUGUGGGAGGAGUAACUAUUGGAGGAGAAAGGAUGGAGUAAAUUUCUGAGGGCUCAGGGAAGGGGAGCCCUCAGAGGACUGGGAAAGACAGACUGCUUUCCAGAUUUGUCCAACAGCCAUGGGCAAGUGCCAGGCUAAUCCUGACCCUGUCAUUCCACUUUUGGCACCUGCUGGAAGGAUAGAGAAGGAAAAUGGGCGGGUAUGUACUUCCAAGUCCUCGGUGGGAUUUCCUAGGAUCAAGCACAACAAGCAGAAAAAUUAAGGAUAUAUAGCGUUGUGUUUGGACAUUUUUACUGGUUGUGUUGGGAUUUAUAUUCUCCAAAGUCCAGGUGUGCUGUUGGAUAUGGAAUCCUGGAUCAAUGGAGGGAGAGAGAGCACCUAAAAUCCUUUUCUUACCACAAGUUAGCCGGCCUGUACUCACUACUUCCGUCGUUUUUUUUUCUACUUGCACUUGAAAAUUUUAAAUAAAUCGGUCUAUUCAGUUAAGACUUGGCUAAUGCUUGGGGGAAGAGAAAACUGCAAACACUUGGAAAACCAUCUCAAUGACUCAGCUUCCAAGAUGUGAAUCUCAGCAAAGCAAUUUUGAGGGCAAGCGGCGGAAGUGGGGAGACUUGUAGGACUCAGCUGAGAUGGCCGCGAGGACCUGGAGGGCUGUGUGGGCCAGGACUCAGAAGAUGUACGGCGCCCCACAGUAGUAAAGGCAGCCCCAGACCAGGCAGGUGGCCUUCCCUUGGACUGGUCCUAUUCUGGUCUACUCGACCUCUUGCAACUAAAGGGUGGACCCCGCCUGGGUCACAACGGCCCCCCAGGUGGUAUGGGCGCUCGGGGAAUGCUUGAACAUGGAAGGGUAAUAUUUCCAGUGAAUAACAAGCCCAAAGCAUUAGAACUAGACUUCAAACCGUAUCCCAAGCCCAAGUCUCCACUUUCUGGAUGAGGAAAGGGCUCAAGCAGGAGAAGGGCACAGAGCCGGGAAUUCCAACUCCAGCUAUUUUGACGAAUGUUAAUCUUCUGGAAAGUUGUUUAACAAGAAUAUGGGGCUCUCGCACUCCAAAAAUAAAUGGCUCCGAAUAGAGCAUUAUUUGGGGUAGCACUGGCUCGCUGAGACUCUGGAGGGCCCCCUGCAGCUAGUGCGGAUCGAUGGAGCUGCAGUGUCGAGGCUGCCACACGGGGGCGGCAUCCCUCUUCCUUUGCCUUGGGUCAGCCUCCUUAACGCCAUCAGUCCUGAAGUAGUCCCAGAACUUGGAGAACACAGUCAGCCAUCUCCUCUCCUUCACAGUAGCUAAAAGCACAAUAGGUGUGGUUUAACAGAGGCCUCCGGCCAGAAAGCAGGGGAUCUUUUAUGGGCUUCUGCUAGUAAGCCCUUCGAUCCUUGUCACUCAGAGUGCGGCAUCGCUAGUUGCAAACGAAUGUCGGACGGACCCCAGACCUUGGAGAAUUGCCCAGCCCAGUACUUGUCACACUUGGCUGGGGAUCUUGCUAGAAGGCAGAUUCUGGUUGAGUGGGGCUGGAAUGGGGCUUGAGAGCCCACAGGUGUAGCAAUCCCCCAGGUGAUGCCCAUCGUGCAGCUCAUAUUGACCCUGAAAGACUUAAAGCCUAGGAGCCUCAGUUUCUUCUUCGGUAAAAUGGGGAGCACACCAGUCCUGUCUGUCACAUGAGAUGAUGGUUGUGGAAGACGUUCAUGACAAACAAGAGGGGUAAAAGUGUGAUGAACGCCAGGCAUGUCAUUUGCCUUUUGAAGUCCCACUGGCAGUGCAAAGAAUAAGUAUUCGCGGGCUGUGGAAGAAUCUCCUUUCUUGUCCUUCCUUACCUGCCAAGAAGCCAGGCUCCUGAGGAAAAUGCUGAAGGGAGGCCAAGUUGCAGAGAGACAAUGACCGCCUCCUGGGGGCGGGGCCUCUAGCCCCCGGGUUGGGGAGAGAGUGUUGCCUCCCCCACCCCUGAAUCCUUCCUACCUGGUGCCAGAGGCCCUACCACUCGUUUUGACUUGAGCCACUCCUCUUGGCUCUGUGUGAUCCCAUUAUUGGCCCCAGAAGGGGAUGAAGCGGGACGAAGAGAGUAGGGGGUCUCCAGAGCUAUGGACAGAGAUUCCCAGGAAGCAGCUGCGUGAUUAUCUGAAUCCUGGGCAUCUGCUGCCAAGGAGCAACGACUGGAAUAAAAAAGGUUCCAUAUCUGCCCUUCGGGGAGUACAGAGUGUGGACAGGCACUGGAACACAAGCACGGACAAGUUAUUGCUCAUUGGAAAAACGGCAUGCAGAGUAGUCAUUCUGCCUGGGGCUGUCAGGGAAGGCUUCCUUGAGCUGAGGUCUGGCUGAACUUUGAAGGCUGCAAGGACUUUGCCUAGCAGGGAAAGGAAGAGAAGGAAGAACAUGGCAGGCAGAAGGAGCGGUGUGGGCAGAGGCACAGAGCUUUAUCUUCUGUCCUGGGGAAGAAGGAAGAUUUAACCUGAGUUGUGAUAAAGCUGGUGGAGAGAUGAGUUGGCUGGAUAGCAUCCUGGAGUCCCAUCUCCAAGAGGAGCUUACAUAGCCCUGAACUUGGAAGAGUUGGAGAAAACCCACAUGUCACAAUAACCCUUUCUAUAGGGGCACCUGAGUGGGUCAGUCAGUUAAGCGUCGGGGUCUGUGGGCUUAGGUCAAUAUUUCUUGAGUUCAGGUCUCACUGUUGGGCUCUGCCCUAACAGCACAGAGCCUGCUUGGGAUUCUCUCUCUCUUCCUGUCUUUCUGCACCUCUCCCACUCGCUCUCUCUUUCUCUCAAAAUAAAUAAAUAAACUUAAAAAAAAAGAA